CCCGACGGACAGACGACGAGCGAAGAGCUACGGAACAGGACCUGGAGACGCUAGCGUUGGACGAACGCGAGGAGGGCCUUCGAGCACGACAAACCAGGAGGAUUGGCAAACGACCACCACGAACCAAGCAGCGACGGUGAGACGAGCGGUAGCGCUAUGGAGGCUAGGGUUUUCAAGGAAGACUUGGAUGGAACUAUGGAGGUUAGUGGGUGGACGGAGCAAGUGAUGCGAUUCUGAGGGAGUGAGGGAGGACUGAGGAGCUCGAGAGGAAGGAAAUG
Molecule: long non-coding RNA, 278 nt
Filed under: Arachis ipaensis
Lineage: Eukaryota; Viridiplantae; Streptophyta; Magnoliopsida; Fabales; Fabaceae
Description: long non-coding RNA (AIPA_LNC001527)
Source: RNAcentral